CGCACGAGCGGGCGUUCGUACGGAUGCGAUUGAAAACGCAGCUGACAGACGUACCAUCUUCAACGUGCUAGUCUUCUCGGUGACCGUGGCGCCCCCUGCUGACCGCCGACAACAGCAACGAUAUUUUCGGUUAUGUUAUGUGCGGUGUAGGAAACGUACUGCACGCACAGUCUUAUCUCUUAGCCAUCGGUCUCAUCUCCUAUGCCUCACUUUCAUCUAGUCAACAUCAUUCAUUGUCUAUUGUCUAUUAGUAUUACUCAUUUACUGACUCUGUAGUCGAGCAUAUAGCAGUUCAUAUCACUGGUCAGUUAAGCACAAAUCAGUUAAUGUCAAUGGUCAGUCGAACAUAUAGCAUUUCAUAUCACUGGUCAAUCGAGCUUAUAUCAGUUCAAAUCACAGGUCACUCGAUCAUAUUAUUUAUAUCACUGGUCAGUCGAGCAUAUAUCAGUUCGUAUCACUGGUAAAUUGAACAUAUAUCGGUUCAAAUCACAGGUCCGUCAAUCAUAUUAUUUCAUAUCACUAGUCAGUCGAUCACAAAUCAGGUAAUGACAGCAGUCAGUCUAUCAUAUAGCAGUUCAAAUCACUGGUCAAUCGAUCACGUAUCAGUUCAAAUCUCAGGUCAGUCGAUUAUAUUAUUUCUUAUCACUGGUCAGUCGAGCAUAAAUCAGUUAAUGGCAGUAGUCAAUCGAUCACAUAUCAGUUCAUAUCACUGGUCAAUAGAACAUAUAUCAGUUCAAAUCACUGGUCACUCGAUCAUAUACAAGUUCAUAUCAAUGGUCAAUCGAUCACAUAUCAGUUCAAAUCACUGGUCAUUCGAUCAUAUUAUUUUAUAUCACUGGUCAGUCGAUCAUAUAUCAGUUAAUGUCAAUGGUCAGUCGAGCAUAUCAGUUCAUAUCACUGGUUAAUCGAUCACAUAUCAGUUCAAAUCACAGAUCAGUCGAUCAUAUUAUUUCAUAUCACUGGUCAAUCAAUCACAUAUCAGUUCAAAUCACUGGUCAUUCGAUCAUAUUAUUUCAUAUCACUGGUGUGUCGAGCAUAUAUCAGUUAAUGUCAAUGGUCAGUCGAGCAUAUCAGUUCAUAUUACUGGUCAGUCGAUCAUAUAUCAGUAAUGUCAAUGGUGAGUUGAUCCUAGCAGUUUCUUAUUCUUGCCAUUAUCAGCUUUCUUUUACAUGCCUUUCACGCCAGCAUAGUUCUGCAGGAACAUGUGUAGUCAGUCAAUUGUAGGCCUGUGUUGUAAUAUCAGCGUGUUCGAGUUUCUUGU
This 1261-nucleotide long non-coding RNA is filed under the name Priapulus caudatus. Its description in RNAcentral is "uncharacterized LOC106819741, transcript variant X1". Lineage: Eukaryota; Metazoa; Priapulida; Priapulimorpha; Priapulimorphida; Priapulidae. The record is from RNAcentral.